This 1284-nucleotide long non-coding RNA is filed under the name Dromaius novaehollandiae (emu). RNAcentral's name for it is "lncRNA (ENSDNVG00000015478.1)". Lineage: Eukaryota; Metazoa; Chordata; Aves; Casuariiformes; Dromaiidae. The record is from RNAcentral.
AUGCUUAAAGUUUCCUAUAUAAAAAUAUACAAAUGCAAAAAUAUAUAUCGAGAGAGAGAGAGCGCGGAAAGGAUCGGCCGGAGGAAUCGCCGCGGUCGCUUCCUCCCUCCCUGCAGAUCUUUUAAAAACAAGGUUUUUUUAAAAAAAAAAACGAAACGAAAGACACCUUCGCACUUCACAGUUUGGCUGGGGUUGCUCCGCCACCGGCUCCGGCCUCGCGUCCCGCUCCGGGAGCGGAGGCGGCAGCGGGAGCCGGCGGCACUCGGGCUCCGCUCGGGGCGGCCGAGGAGGGAGCAGUCGGAGGAGGAGCGCGCGUCUCGGCUCUCGGCCGCCCGGGAAGUUUCCUGGUUAUCCUCAGGCAGGGAAAAGGAGGGGGAAAAUAUACUUUUGAGGAAAAUAUACAGCAGGAGCGCCCUCGUUUUUCUGCCGGGAGGGAGGAAGAGGCCGCGCGGGCCCUGGAAGACGGGACCUCCGUGCCCGGGGCACCCGGUCCGGGUGGCUCUGGAGCAUCCCCAAGGAUGGAGACGCCACCAGCUCCCCGAGCGCCCUGCUCCCGGGCUCCCCGGCCGCCAGCAAGCUCUUCCGCACGUUCCGGCCCGGCGCUGGGCGGGAAGAGUCUGGCCCCGUCCUCUUUACACCCCCCUUCAGAUGCUUAAAUGCAUCGGAAGAUCCCCUGGUCUCCUCCGGGCUGACCGGUCCCAGCGCCCGGCCGUUCCUCCUACGGGAGAUGCUCCGGUCCCUGGACCAUCUCGGCAGCCCUUUGCCGGACUGCUUCCCAGUAGCUCCACCUUAAACUGGGAGCCCAGCACUGGUCCCAGCACGGGGCCGGGACCACCUCCCUCGUCCRUUCCCAUUGCCGGCCGCCGGCGCCGUUUCACAUCUAACCUUUCCGCACGUCUCGCCCGCGGCCGCCUUCCCGACGGGGCGUUCCCAGGGUCUCCGGCUCCGACCCGCUCCUGCCUCGUCUCCCCCCACGUUUCUGCUCGGAAACAAAAGAGGGUGAACGGAGGGGUCCGAGGGCCCCUUCGCGCGCCGGGCGUUUCGGCUUAUCGCGGGGGCCCAACGAAGCUGCCCCGCGGGCUCGGCCGCCCGUUUGCGGCCGGAGGCGAAAGGGCAGAUGUUGUCUCGGCCCUCGAGCGGGGGAGCGAAAGGAAGAGGCCUCCGCCGUCCCCGCGGCGGGGUGGCAAAAGCCGUGCCCUGAAAAAAAAGAGUUUUCCCCAAUUUCCAACACCCGUUUUUUUCGUUUCUACAAGCCGGGCAGAAGGGCGACGCCUCGGAGCCRGA